Long non-coding RNA from Homo sapiens (human), 3060 nucleotides. Ensembl annotates it as small nucleolar RNA host gene 14. Its record names the gene SNHG14. The record is from Ensembl. Lineage: Eukaryota; Metazoa; Chordata; Mammalia; Primates; Hominidae.
AAUUUUUGUGUUUUUAGUAGAGAUGGGGUUUCACCAUGUUGGCCGGGCUGGUCUCGAACUCCUGACCUUAAGUGAUCUGCCUGCAUCAGCCUCCCAAAGUGCUGGGAUUACAAGCAUGAGCCACCAUGCCCAGCCAAGUACAGACUUUUUCUUUGGUUAUUAUUCCCUAAAACAGUACAGUAUAACAACUAUUUACGCAGCAUUUACAUUGUAUUCAGCAUCAUGAGUAAUCUAGAAAUGAUUUCCUGCAUAUAGGAGGAUGUACAUAGGUUCUAUGCCAAUAGUGCACAGUGCUCGCUGUGUUUAAAGAAAUAUCCUAGGUAUAGAAUAAAUAAUUUUGAAGUCAGUGUGUUGAGAAAACACUGACAUGGAUAGAAAAUAUUCUGUCUAGAAUAGAAAAAACAAUAGAAUAGAAAAAGUUCUAUCUGUAUCAGUCUGAUCAAAGAUGUGAGCAUAAUUAUUCUUGUCAUACAUAUAGUCUAAUGAAUGUCUAAAGUGAAUUCUUAUAACUGCUUGUAACAAAAUAUUUCAUUUGGCAAAUGUUAUUUCACAACUUUCCUAAUUGCCCAUGUACUUUGUAGAUUGGUUUUCACAGAAUUCCAUGGACUUUAACUGCUGAACCAAUGAUGCACUGAUUUUGUCACUUGUACCAGCUAACGCAUCUGGGAGGCAACAAAACAAUACUCUCCUGAGGUUAAUGUGGACCAAAAACUAGAUUUCAUAUAAAAGAGUUUAUUCCUUCUACUUGAGGUGUGACAUGAAGGAAAGUAAUGGAAAUAAUUCUGCCCUCCCAUUCUCAAGGGCCAGGGGGAAUUCAAAUAUUGAACGGAAGUGAUUUUGGAAUUGCAUGGAAUUCUCACUGCCAUCCCAAAGAAAUGCUGAUCUUGUCACUCUUACCUGUUUCAUUCCCUGGGGGCAGAACAAAAGGACGCACUCCAAAGAUCGGCAUGAACCAAGAACUGGGUUUCAUAUAAAAUAUUUUAUUCUGUCCUCUUGAGAUGUGACAUGAGAAAAGUAUUGAGAAUACUUCUAUCACCUCAUCUUCAAGAAUCCGUAGGAAUUCUCCCAUGGUGGACUUUACGGUUAACCUGAACAGGUCUUGGAAAAAGGACUUUAAACAUUCUCCUGUUCUGUGGAAUAAGUAUACUUUUUUCUGGACAUACACCUUGUCAGUGAGUUCCAUGUGAUACUAGAGUUGCAUAGAUUUUUAACCUUUACGCCAAUGAAGAUCUGAGGCAAACAUUGCCCCUUUUUUAGAAGUUUGCAUUUGUCACUGAUAACUGUAAUAAUUGAUCUUGUUGAAAAGCCUGGGAAAUGAAGAUCUGAUAUGUCACUUUUACCGGCUUCCUCAACUGAAAAAGAAUACAAUGAAACACGCUGAGAAUUUUUGUGCUUUCUCAGUCUUGCUGAUGAUCUUUCUAUGGGCCUGAAGCGUGGAGAGUGCCAGAGAGGCUGAUCCUCAGCAGUGUGGCAGAGGAAAGUUGGGUGCGACUAAGGGGUAUGCGGUGCCCACAUGCCACUGGGUCCUCAGCAGUACCACCUGAUUGGAAGUGAUAUUGGUGGAAGACAACAUUUUGCCGCUUGGAAUUCUCACCUCCACACCAAAGAAGUACUGUUUUUGUCAUUUGCACCAGCUUCUUUCUCCAGGAAAGAUCAAAACGAUGCACUGCAAGUGUGAUUGGUCCAGAUAGCUGCCUUAUCCAACUGCCUCCUUUGGACCACUUCAUCAUGGGACAGCUUGAUGCAAUCUACUUGACAAGACCCUGGAACCCCACACCCCUCAUGGAACCAGUGUCCACCUCCCAGUCACAGUGUGACCCCAGGGAACUCUUGCCUGCUUGCUUUAAACCCACCACUUAAAAGUCUCCACAGAAAACCUGUUUGAAUAGUACCCUUGACCCAAUAAGGGCAUUGGCCCCUGGGUGUCUCUCUCUCUCUCUCUCUCUCUCUCUCCCUCUCUCUCCCUCUCUCUCUCUCGCUCCCUGACCUCUGCGUGUGGACUCCAGGCAUGCCAUAUACCCCUCAGGACCUGAAGCAAAAGAAUGAAUUAAAGAAAACUCCAGAGAAUGAGCUGACAACCUACUCCCUGGUCAGUGGCUCUCCAUGCCUACCUGUGGUCUCUUGGACACCCUUGCAGAUGACUUCCUGGGAACUCUUCUGGGAGUGAAUGUUAUCAGCAAAUUCCCAAAACAACACCCCUUAGACAAAAAGCCUCCUCACCUAUGCAUUGCCUAGACCACCCACUAAAGGUGAUGGCCACAAAGAGGUGGAUUUGUUGAGUUGGUGCCAUUCCUUCUACUGCCAGCUUCACCAAAACAAUGACACAGUCUUCCUUCCGCAUGGAGACUCUUCUCUUUCCUGUGUUGCAGUGGAUGCCUCCUGCAGAUAAGAAAUGCUUAACUGAGAAAUGCUCAUGUUGGGAUAUCAUCGAUGAGACUUUAAUUUGGGCAUGGUGACUGUUUCCCUUGCUGCCACUUGACUCAAUCCCAGGAGCCUCAGUAGAGGAUAUAAUAUUACACAAGAUGCUCAAAAUGGUGGAAUUGCUCAGUGCUCCCAUAAAUAUACAUUUAUAAUUUUCAUUUGCCACAUGGUAAACUGAAAAAUACAGACUAUAUUAAAAAGAAACUGCAUGAUUUUUUUUCAAAAAUUCAAAGCAUAUUUAAAUAAUAUAUAAAUUAAAUGCCCUCCUCUCUUCCAAUUCUGUCCCUAUAGUUUUCCUCUAUUAAGUGAACUACAUGCAUUCUUUUAGUGGAUAGAUGCACACAAACACACAAGCCAUUAUGGGGAAGGAUCCACGUGUGUGGCCAUAUUGUAACACAUUUUUCUGCAAAUCACCUCUUUCAUUUAACAGCCCUUAUUCAAUGGCCUUUUUCUUUUUCAGUAGUACAUACACAUCUGUGUCAUUUGUUGAAUGACGACAUGAAUGUUUUGUAGAUAAAAUAUAAUUAAAUGUUUUAAGCAUUUCUCACUCAUAGAUAUUUAUGUUAGCACCAAAUUUCUGUGCAAUGAACCUCCCUAUAUAUCAGUAAUUUUGCAUUUGUCUAUAAUAUCAUAAUAAAU